AUACGGGAGGCAGCAGUGGGGAAUAUUGGGCAAUGGGCGAAAGCCUGACCCAGCGAUGCCGCGUGAGGGAUGAAGGCCUUCGGGUUGUAAACCUCUGUCAGGAGGGACGAUGGGACACUUGUGUCUUGACGGUACCUCCAGAGGAAGCCCCGGCUAACUCCGUGCCAGCAGCCGCGGUAAUACGGAGGGGGCAAGCGUUGCUCGGAAUUACUGGGCGUGAAGGGUCCGCAGGCUGUCAGGCAAGUUGGUUGUGAAAGCUCAAGGCUUAACCUUGGAAUUGCAUCCAAAACUGCCUGACUAGAGUCCAAGAGAGGUUGGCGGAAUUCCCGGUGUAGCGGUGAAAUGCAUAGAUAUCGGGAGGAACACCAGAGGCGAAGGCGGCCAACUGGCUUGGAACUGACGCUCAGGGACGAAAGCGUGGGUAGCAAACCGGAUUAGAUACCCGGGUAGUCCACGCCCUAAACGAUGGAUGCUAGGUAGGGGGAAUUU
RNAcentral lists this ribosomal RNA (489 nucleotides) under uncultured bacterium. RNAcentral describes it as "bacterial SSU rRNA". It matches the Rfam family "Bacterial small subunit ribosomal RNA", at positions 339 to 832 of the family's 1533-position model. The record is from RNAcentral.